CAAGCCGUGUACAAUAUUACUGGGCGAAAGGGCGCGUAGGCGGCCGAGUAAGUCGCGUGUGAAGGUGAAAAAGGGGGACGAGCAUUGCACGUGAUACUGCCUGUCAAAAAAAAAGGAAAGGCGAGCGGAAUUCCCGGUGUACGGUGGAAUGCGUAGAUAUCGGGAAGAACACCUGUCCGCUCCAAGCAGAUCGCUGGGCCUUGUCUGACGCUGAAGCGCGAAAGCGUGGGGAGCAAACAGGAUUAGAUACCCUGGUAGUCCACGCCGUAAACGAUGGGUACUAGGUGUUGGGAGGCUUGGCCCUCUCAGUGUCGUCGCUAACGCAUUAAGUACCCCGCCUGGGGAGUACGGCCGUAAGGCUGAAACUCAAAGGAAUUGACGGGGGCCCGCACAAGCGGUGUUUUUUUUUUUUUUUAAUUCGAAGCAACGCGAAGAACCUUACCUGGGCUUGACAUGUCGGUGGUACCUCCCCCCGAAACGGGGAGGAACCCUUCGGGGAUUCGUCA
Molecule: ribosomal RNA, 506 nt
Filed under: uncultured Actinomycetes bacterium
Lineage: Bacteria; Bacillati; Actinomycetota; Actinomycetes
Description: uncultured actinobacterium partial 16S ribosomal RNA
Rfam family: Bacterial small subunit ribosomal RNA
Source: RNAcentral